RNAcentral lists this ribosomal RNA (495 nucleotides) under uncultured bacterium. RNAcentral's name for it is "partial 16S ribosomal RNA". It matches the Rfam family "Bacterial small subunit ribosomal RNA", at positions 28 to 507 of the family's 1533-position model. The record is from RNAcentral.
GACGAACGCUGGCGGCGUGCCUAAUACAUGCAAGUAGAACGCUGAAGGAGGAGCUUGCUUCUCUGGAUGAGUUGCGAACGGGUGAGUAACGCGUAGGUAACCUGCCUGGUAGCGGGGGAUAACUAUUGGAAACGAUAGCUAAUACCGCAUAAGACUAGAUGUCGCAUGACAUUUGCUUAAAAGGUGCAAUUGCAUCACUACCAGAUGGACCUGCGUUGUAUUAGCUAGUUGGUGAGGUAACGGCUCACCAAGGCAACGAUACAUAGCCGACCUGAGAGGGUGAUCGGCCACACUGGGACUGAGACACGGCCCAGACUCCUACGGGAGGCAGCAGUAGGGAAUCUUCGGCAAUGGACGGAAGUCUGACCGAGCAACGCCGCGUGAGUGAAGAAGGUUUUCGGAUCGUAAAGCUCUGUUGUAAGAGAAGAACGAGUGUGAGAGUGGAAAGUUCACACUGUGACGGUAUCUUACCAGAAAGGGACGGCUAACUACGUG